GCUGCUGGAGCUGGACCGGGUCACGCUCUAAGCCGGGGGCAGACGUGCGGACCCUCCUCAGAGCCGUGCCCGGAGGCUGAGGCUCAGCUUCUCCACAUGCUGCUUGCCAGCGCCUUUCAUGGGUGUUGCGUGGAGGCUCACCGUUAUGCUGCCUGCUUUCUGGUUUCAUCAGCCGGGCCAGAGUCUGGCAGGGUGCAUCCGUUUGCCUCAGGCUUGGACAUGUGUGAUGUCAGGAGGUCGUGGACGUCUCCUGUUUGAACCAGGUUUAAAUCAGUUCCCUCCCCCGCUUUCCUCCAGUCUGAGGCAGCUGCCCGGUACUGAGAAAGAGUUUGAGGAGUCUGAUGGCCUGAGGGGAGGAAAGAAGCUGCUCUUCAGUCUGGUGGUAUGCUGCAGGGCUCAAACAUAGUUUGCUCUGUUCAGCUUUUGACCACAGGGGGCGCCAGAAUCAACACAACUGAAAGUUCCUUGUAGCGGCUUUAAGUAAGAGACCAAUACCCUGUGGUGCAUUUAUAUUUUGAUGUGUGUACAAAAGUAGACAUAGUUAUACAAAUCAGCACAUUUCAGAAUAAUGCAUAUUCAAUUAUUCAACUAUGGUUAACAAUGCAUUAAUGUUUUCGUCACUUUCAGGUUGCAGCUGGUGGUUUGAAUGCUUUAUAGUUUAUAUGCUGGCUUAGCUUUUGG
Long non-coding RNA from Acanthopagrus latus (yellowfin seabream), 681 nucleotides. RefSeq lists it as uncharacterized. The record is from RefSeq and is a predicted model, not a curated record. Lineage: Eukaryota; Metazoa; Chordata; Actinopteri; Spariformes; Sparidae. The transcript has 3 exons.